RNAcentral lists this long non-coding RNA (2260 nucleotides) under Sparus aurata (gilthead seabream). RNAcentral's name for it is "lncRNA (ENSSAUG00010024029.1)". The record is from RNAcentral. Lineage: Eukaryota; Metazoa; Chordata; Actinopteri; Spariformes; Sparidae.
GAUGCUUCACAGGAAAGAUCGAGAACUGGCUCCUGGGUUGUGGGUGAGUCAGCUCGCUUUACUACUUUUUGUUCUUUGUAAGAUGAUAUUUUUCGAGCACUAGCUUGCACUCUGAAGGACGAGGCGUCAGUCACUGGAAACUGGUUUAACAAACAGUAAUAUGAAAGUGGAAACUCUGUGAGGUCAGGUGUUCCAAGGAAGACGGCGCAGUAAGGUAGCCACAGCUUUGUUUUCACCACAAUGGCCUUUAGAUGAUGCAUUUUUACAGCUUUGUUGGAAAAACAACAAGAUUUUUGUUUAGUUCUUUGCAACCAGAGAAGUAAAUGCAGCUUUUUAAGGCAACGUUGAUUAUGGAAAAAAAUGUUCAGCAAGCCUUCCUGAUGCUCUGUCACCAAGGACGCUCCAGCCCUUUGACUUCUUCAAAAUUUCCUUGUGGUUUGGUCUAAGAAUAAUUACAUAACUAGAAGGAAAUAACAGUUCCUUCUUCCUGUUUUGCAAGUGAUUAGAGGAAACAGUUCAGUACACACAUGUUGACAUUAGUUAAUGUCUCUUAUGUCAGUCAAUGACAAGGAAGCAGCACUGGUGGCUCUCAGUGAGGUUCUGCAUGUGUCAUGAAUUGGAGCAAAUACAGUAAAAGGAGAGGUGUGAUGGCUUCUGAGAACUCAGCACCAAAGUGGCUGCAUAUUUUUGGAGGUGUUAAGGCUAAUGCCUCCCUGCAUGUGAACAUUUCUGCAUGAGGAAGUUGACAGAAAGCCUGUUGAGAGCUGAUUAGAGAACAGAUCUAACAAGCACAUACUGUCGCUAGGCAGCUAUCAUACUGCAGAUGAGGCCGUCUAUGCAAACACGGCCACUUGUAUGAGAGAAGCAGCAUGCAAAUGUCUGUUUAAGCAUGAAAUAUUGGGAUGUAUCUUACAGGUCAGAGGCCCGCUCAGAAAACUUUGCUCAGCUGAGUUUUGAGUCUGUGCUGAAAGGCCACCACUGUGACGAUGAGCUGGGUCUUGGUGCUGAUGGUAAGUCCACACACACACACACACACACACACACAAACACAAACACGCACGCACGCACACACAAACGCACACAGACACACACACACAUGCACGCACACACACACACACACACAAAGAAAACUAACAAAGCAGUAAAUGUCCUUGUAGGAAAAUAAGGCGCACAUCAUGAAUGUUGAAACAAGCUCAUGCUUUGUCAUGCUGCGGAUAUCAGUGGAAAUGUGUCACGGAGAUGUCCAGUGUUUCGCAGUAUUACUGUACCUCUGCCAAGAAGGACAUUUUUUCAAAUGGGGAAGUUCCUUUUUUAGAAAAUACCUCAAAAGUUGUUUCAUAACAGACGCUGACUACACUGACUGUUCAUACACAGCCUUAUCAGGAAAGGAAAGCUAAAUAAAGGUCAAAACAUCACAUUAUUUUACAAUUCAAGUGGUAAAGACUAACAGCAGAAUGACAUAAUGCAUUUUCAUUUAAUUGCUAAAUGGUUGUAUGUCUUUUGGUUGACAAAAAUAACCUUCCCUAAACAUGACAUACAGUAUGAAUUCAUUUUUGAGACGUGUGUAAUAAAAAAAAAAAUCUUCUGUUUUGUUUCAGCGUCUGUGUUAAAUGGUGGAGAAGUUACAUCUGAAGCUCAGUGAGUAGUAACUUGACAAGAAAUGUUAGUGAAUGUUAGUCCGUGUUGCUUUAAUCAUCAUACUGACAGAGGUCAUGCUGAACAGUUCAUCCAGGAGGGAGAGGAACUGUCUUUGAUGGGUCUCGUAUUUUAAUUCAAAUCUAGUCUCACAAUCCAACAGGCAUGUUUGAUUUAACUGCCCCACCCACCACUAACACCACCACCAACACCACCACCACCACAGUUAGCUGAAGCUGAGUGUCUUCACUGAUAUUUAUAGGUCCCGGUUGCACCCCUGCAUGCUGAGGCUGUUUUUAAACUGAAAAAAUGUAUAUGAGAUGGCACUUGUUAAUCACGUGACUAUAACGUUUUAAAAGAAUCAUCAAAGACAAUCUACUUAAUCAAUACUAAAGAAGCUAAACUUGACAGUCUGGACUUUUGGUAACUUUCGUCUCCCUCCCUCUGUGCUUACCAUGAAGCCUCGCACAGUAUCCUUCCACCAGUCAAGGUCACAGCAGACUCACCAGGUCAGUGGCAAAACCUCUUUCUUGUUAAAUGUGACUGUAUCGUAAAGUUACUGUUAAGAUUCAUACUUCAGACAACUGAGUGUUUCUUCCACGCCUGACGUGUAUGUUACUCUAAC